CGCGAAGCUCAGGAGCUUGCUCCUGAGAUUCGAGCGGCGGACGGGUGAGUAACACGUAGGCAACCUACCCUUGAGAUUGGGAUAACUACCGGAAACGGUAGCUAAUACCGGAUACGACAUUCCUGCAUAAGUAAGAAUGUUAAAAGGCGGAUUUAUCUGCCGCUCAUGGAUGGGCCUGCGGUGCAUUAGCUAGUUGGUGAGAUAGUAGCUCACCAAGGCGACGAUGCAUAGCCGACCUGAGAGGGUGAUCGGCCACACUGGGACUGAGACACGGCCCAGACUCCUACGGGAGGCAGCAGUAGGGAAUCUUCCGCAAUGGACGCAAGUCUGACGGAGCAACGCCGCGUGAGUGAUGAAGGGUUUCGGCUCGUAAAACUCUGUUGUUAAGGAAGAACACUUGAGGUAGUAACUGGCCUUGAGAUGACGGUACUUAACCAGAAAGCCACGGCUAACUACGUGCCAGCAGCCGCGGUAAUACGUAGGUGGCAAGCGUUAUCCGGAAUUAUUGGGCGUAAAGCGCGCGUAGGCGGUAAAAUAAGUCUGAUGUGAAAGCCCCCGGCUCAACCGGGGAGGGUCAUUGGAAACUGUUUUACUUGAGUACAGAAGAGGAGAGUGGAAUUCCAUGUGUAGCGGUGAAAUGCGCAGAGAUAUGGAGGAACACCAGUGGCGAAGGCGGCUCUCUGGUCUGUAACUGACGCUGAGGUGCGAAAGCGUGGGGAUCAAACAGGAUUAGAUACCCUGGUAGUCCACGCCGUAAACGAUGAGUGCUAAGUGUUGGGGGGUUUCCGCCCCUCAGUGCU
Molecule: ribosomal RNA, 800 nt
Filed under: Jeotgalicoccus sp. K93
Lineage: Bacteria; Bacillati; Bacillota; Bacilli; Caryophanales; Staphylococcaceae
Description: bacterial SSU rRNA
Rfam family: Bacterial small subunit ribosomal RNA
Source: RNAcentral